AAGAAGAUGAUGAUGUGGAUAAUUCUCAAAAAAUUUGUUGUGUAGCCGCUGAGUUAGAAACAGUACAAUAUUAGUAAUGAUAUUAAUGACAGAGGAAGUUCUUUAAAAGGUUGGGUCGAGGAUAAUUUAUGGGCUCAAGGAGGGUAGAGGUAAGAGCAGGUGGAGAAUUGGAGUUAACCAUAGUUUGGAGGAAGUCGUAAAACCAACGUUGGUCUUAUUGAAGUUGUUGAUUUUAAUUUUAUGGGUUGUGUGGGUGAUUUGAGAAUGAAAUGUUUGGUCUUAAACGACGCACCUGGGCUUGAUGUUAUUGAAGGUGAUAAGCCCGGCAGGAUGGGAAAUGAGCCGAGACUGUGGUCAAAAUAUUAAUGUUUAGGGUUUUGGGGGGGGGGGGUUAAGGUUCUCUCUGUUCAUUGAAGUUUUGACUCUGGCUGUAGUCAAGGUUUUGUUUGACUUGGUUAAUAAUGUUGGAAGAGUUUGGGCGUAUACAAUCGAGAAAAGAAGACGUUUCUGUCUUGAUUGAUUGGGGAACAGAUAUCUAGAUCUGUUUUCCUGCCAUAUCUGGUUUUUUGUUUAUCUCCAACCCAAUCUUUGUGGUAAUUUUGGUUUUGGACUCGCACACCA
This 621-nucleotide long non-coding RNA is filed under the name Gossypium barbadense (sea-island cotton). RNAcentral's name for it is "long non-coding RNA (GBAR_LNC016302)". The record is from RNAcentral. Lineage: Eukaryota; Viridiplantae; Streptophyta; Magnoliopsida; Malvales; Malvaceae.